UUGGAGGGCAAGUCUGGUGCCAGCAGCCGCGGUAAUUCCAGCUCCAAUAGCGUAUAUUAAAGUUGUUGCAGUUAAAAAGCUCGUAGUUGAAUUUCGAGACCGGCUUAUUGGUCGUGCUUUUGUACGUACUGGUAUAAUCGGUUUCUCCUUUCUGACGAACUAUAAUGCCAUUAAUUUGGUGUUAUAGGGAAUCAGGACUGUUACUUUGAAAAAAUUAGAGUGUUUAAAGCAGGCUCACGCUUGAAUACAUUAGCAUGGAAUAACGGAAUAGGACGUUUGAUUCUAUUUUGUUGGUUUCUAGGAUCGACGUAAUGAUUAAUAGGGAUAGUUGGGGGCAUUAGUAUUCAAUUGUCAGAGGUGAAAUUCUUGGAUUUAUUGAAGACUAACUACUGCGAAAGCAUUUGCCAAGGAUGUUUUCAUUAAUCAAGAACGAAAGUUAGGGGAUCGAAGACGAUCAGAUACCGUCGUAGUCUUAACCAUAAACUAUGCCGACUAGGGAUCGGAUGAUGUUAAUUUUUUAAUGACUCAUUCGGCGCCUUACGGGAAAC
This 548-nucleotide ribosomal RNA is filed under the name uncultured Glomus. RNAcentral's name for it is "SSU rRNA". It matches the Rfam family "Eukaryotic small subunit ribosomal RNA", at positions 548 to 1098 of the family's 1831-position model. Lineage: Eukaryota; Fungi; Glomeromycota; Glomeromycetes; Glomerales; Glomeraceae. RNAcentral also lists the same sequence under 1 other name. The record is from RNAcentral.